AAACUGCGAUAAGUAGCGUGAAUUGCAGACGCUUUGAACGUUAAACUUUCGAACGCACAUUGCGCCGUAGGAGUCCUACCCUACGGCACAUCUGGUUGAGGGUCGUGAUCAAAAACAGCCGCACAGUAGCUGGAAUAGAACGAAUUGGUGAAUCACGAGUCCGGCCCACCCGUACUCGGGCCGUACGUGUUUUGCCAUUGUCCUCUUCGGAGGAUAGGUGAAUUCCCUUGCCCCACGGAUGGGCAUAACGGCUGGGACUAGUUCCGGCCUGUAGAGUACCAUACAUACGCCUAGCGUAAGUGCUCUAUGGGUGUCUGCGAAACAGCCGAUAUGAUCUAUACGUGCCGGGUUUUUGUCGAUAGACAAUCGACUUCCCGACCUCAACUCAGGUGUGAUUACC
This 400-nucleotide unclassified non-coding RNA is filed under the name uncultured fungus. RNAcentral describes it as "sequence contains ITS1". The stretch from base 1 to 105 matches the Rfam family "5.8S ribosomal RNA", at positions 50 to 154 of the family's 154-position model. Lineage: Eukaryota; Fungi. The record is from RNAcentral.